Molecule: transfer RNA, 74 nt
Filed under: Candidatus Chloroheliaceae bacterium
Lineage: Bacteria; Bacillati; Chloroflexota; Chloroflexia; Candidatus Chloroheliales; Candidatus Chloroheliaceae
Description: tRNA-Asp
Rfam family: tRNA
About the family: Transfer RNA (tRNA) molecules are approximately 80 nucleotides in length.
Source: RNAcentral
GGAGGCGUGGUGUAGUGGCCAAACAUGCAUCCCUGUCAAGGAUGAGACCGCGGGUUCGAAUCCCGUCGCUUCCG